UACAGAGGGUGCAAGCGUUGUUCGGAAUUAUUGGGCGUAAAGCGCGUGUAGGCGGCUUUGCAGGUCGGAUGUGAAAGCCCUCGGCUCAACCGAGGAAGUGCGUUCGAAACUGCAGAGCUUGAGUGCCGGAGAGGGUGGCGGAAUUCCCCAAGUAGAGGUGAGAUUCGUAGAUAUGGGGAGGAACACCGGUGGCGAAGGCGGCCACCUGGACGGUCACUGACGCUGAGACGCGAAAGCGUGGGUAGCAAACAGG
RNAcentral lists this ribosomal RNA (253 nucleotides) under uncultured bacterium. Its description in RNAcentral is "partial 16S ribosomal RNA". It matches the Rfam family "Bacterial small subunit ribosomal RNA", at positions 524 to 776 of the family's 1533-position model. The record is from RNAcentral.